This 64-nucleotide transfer RNA is filed under the name Hyalurgus flavipes. RNAcentral describes it as "tRNA-Asn". The record is from RNAcentral. Lineage: Eukaryota; Metazoa; Arthropoda; Insecta; Diptera; Tachinidae.
UUAAUUGAAACCAAAAAGAGGUUUAUUACUGUUAAUAAUAAAAUUGAGUAUAACUCCAAUUAAA